AAAAGCUAAAAGAAAAAGUAGUAAAAAAUAGGAUUUCUUACUAAUAAUUCUGCCUUUGUGGAACCUGCCAUUGACUUCAUAAUUUCCCUGUACCUGCCAUUGACUUCAUAAUUUCCCUGUUUUUAUCUUCACUUUCUUCUUAUUUCUUACCCACCACAUUCUUUCUUCUUCACUGCUUUUAAUUUGUUUCCAUCUCCAAGGUCUAUCACAAGUUUUAAGCAUACAGUCAAGCUAGCUUUGUAAGAUAGUCAAGGAAGUCAACUUCACUGCUUCAUUUUCAGUUCUAAUCUCUCAACACUUUUCAGCCAC
Gossypium arboreum is the source of this 309-nucleotide long non-coding RNA. RefSeq lists it as uncharacterized. The transcript has 2 exons. NCBI's taxonomy places the organism in Eukaryota, Viridiplantae, Streptophyta, Magnoliopsida, Malvales, Malvaceae. The record is from RefSeq and is a predicted model, not a curated record.